Molecule: long non-coding RNA, 428 nt
Organism: Carassius carassius (crucian carp)
Lineage: Eukaryota; Metazoa; Chordata; Actinopteri; Cypriniformes; Cyprinidae
Exons: 3
Source: RefSeq, a predicted model, not a curated record
UUACAGUGUCGCUGUUUUAUCAAUUAUAAAAGUAAGCAUUAUAAAGCCUUACACCACACGUGCUCUAUAAACUAGUACUUUUCUGUGUGUUAAGUUGGCCUGUUCUUUUUCUUUUAUUUGUCUAAAGUUACAGAUUUGAAACAUUCAGCAGCACGUGACCCCCUGCCAAGAAAUAAUACAACAUGGAAUGAAAAAGAUGGCAACAAUUUACCUGCCUGGGGGAUUGCUUUAAUCGUAAUCCUGGUUGCUGGAGCUGUUUCUGCCUUUAUUUUUUUCAUUGGAAAAAGGGCAAAAUGCUUUGGUAAACCAAUACCUGUACUUUAGUGGCGAUGAUUUGUGCCUUCAAGCAAAUCACCUCAGGUUGCUCCAGAGGGACUGUGCCUGGAAAACAGUACAUGUUAUACUGUAUAAGCCACUUUGGUAAAAAA